Long non-coding RNA from Aquila chrysaetos chrysaetos, 1616 nucleotides. RefSeq lists it as uncharacterized. NCBI's taxonomy places the organism in Eukaryota, Metazoa, Chordata, Aves, Accipitriformes, Accipitridae. The transcript has 3 exons. The record is from RefSeq and is a predicted model, not a curated record.
CUGAGCUGUGGCUGGCUCCCCAGCGCCUGGUGCACAUGGAUGUUUGUUUCUGACUGUGAGCAAGAUCUCCACCGGUGAUGGCAUGUGUGGGUUUGGGUGUAGGGAGGUGGAGGGUCUUCCAGUAAGCUGUUGCAUGUACGUGAGGGUAUGUGGUUACGGGUGAUUUCUGAGGAGCUGUUGCAUUUCUGCGUGCGGUGAUUUGAGGAGGCGUACGAAAGACGGUCUCCCCAGAGCAGUUGCACGCGUGUGUUUGUGUGUGGAUGAAAGGUCUCCCCCACCUCCUGUUGCAUUUUGACGUGUCAAUUUUCUUAGCAAACGCUGCAGGGGCAUGUGUCGAGGUGUAGUUUCCCACGGCUGUUGCACAUACCUGUGUCAGUAGGUGUACAGCUGUUGCAUGCGUACGUGUGUGUAUGUAGCUCCUCAGGAGCCGUUUCUUGUACCUGUAUCGUUCCUAGAAGCUGUCGUAUUUUCAUGCGGGUGGCUUGAUUCUGAGAAGCUGUCGCCUCUGUGUGUGUGUGCGUGUGAUUCCCCAGCAGCUGUUACUCGUGCGUGUUCCUGGGAAGCUGUUGUAUGUUGUGUGUAGCUCUUCAGCAGCUGUUGUAAGGAAAUUGUGAGCGUGUGUGCGUGCGUGCAAUUCCCCAGCAGCUGUUGCAUGUGUGCUCAUGUCUCCGGUGGAGGCCCACCCCUUUCCGCCUGCACCGGAGCGGUGGCUGUGCAGGCGAGGAGAGCUCGGAGCUGGCUCCAUGGGAGAGGGACCUUCGCCCGUCACAGCCUUCCCAACUGGGAGAAGCGGUGCCGGCUCCGGUCCCAGAGCCCUAUCAGCCGAGCCUGUGGCGAAUUAAUCACCCGCGUUUUAAAUGCCAAUACAGCCCUUUCUGCCUUCUUCCCCCAGUGAUGCGGAUGCGGCGAAGGCAGCAAAUCCUCCGGCUGUGCGUGUCCUCCCCGGACUGCUGCUCCGUCCCCGCCUGUCGUGCUCGCCUGUGUGCGUGGCUGGGAAUGCUGCCUAGGUGCAGCCGGGAAUGAGACAGCUGUGGGGCAGAGGACAGCACAGCUCCGAGGGGUGACACAAGGUGGGGGAUACCCCCCCCCCGCCCCACGCACACAUCCGCAGGGCUGCGAGUUGCUUGAAGACAGGGGUCUUUUGUGCCUCCACUUCGUCUCUGUCAUGCCCCGUAUGGAAGCCGGGAGCGAUCGCCCCUCCAGAAGCAGAAGACGAAGUCGUUCGCAAUGAAUCCAUGGCAGCUUCGAUCGAGCGGUGAGCUGGAGCACCUACUCACAGGCCACUCCUUGAUGUGACCGAAGAGAGGCCUUUCCCAGCGCUCGCCGAGGAACGCAGAGCCCUGGAUUUACCUCCCGCGCACCCGGGCACCCCCAGCACAGGCACGGCGAGAUUCCAGUGACAGAUGGAUCUCUCUCGUGCGCACUUGCUCUUUCCCUCUGUAUUUUUUGUUUUCGACAUGUUUGAUCUGAAGCUCUGAAGCUUCUCGGAGGGAACCCGGGAGAGAAGGAGGAGAAGGAGGAGGAACCGAGGGAGCGUGAGCGACAGAGGAGGCAGCCCUGCCUUGUUCUUCCAAAUCACACCGUGGAGGGGCGGGGGAAGACUAGAGACGGGGGAG